AUGCGUGCCUUAUUCUGGAACAUCCGCGGCUUUGGCCAUGAUGGCCGACGCCGCCAACUCAUCGAGUACGUACGCGAUGAGCAUAUUGACAUAGUGGCGAUCCAGGAAACCAUGCGCUCUGACUUCUCAUUGCCGGAGCUUGACCGGCUGAGCUCCCACCUCUUCGCGUGGCACUGGCUCCCUUCUAGUGGGAACACCGGCCAUUCGGGUGGCAUCCUUCUGGGUGUGAAGGAUGCCACCUUCGAGGUGGGAAGUAUGGACCGGGGCCAGUUCUUUGUUAGUAUGGAGCUCUAUGAACGGGCCCUGAACUUUAAAUGGGAGGUUAUCAUCGUCUAUGGCCCGGCGGACCACAGUAGAUCCGCAUCCUUCCUCGAUGAGCUUAAUCGGAAGGUCUCGGCGGCCUCCCUGCCGGUGGUUGUCGGAGGCGAUUUUAACCUCCUCCGAUUCGCGGAAGACAAGAGCAAUGAUCAUGUUAACUAUGCACAUAUGCAGAUGUUUAAUGACUGCAUUGCUGAUCUUGGUCUUCACGAAAUAGAUAGGGUUGGUGCUAGGUUCACCUGGACUAACCGGCAAGCCUCCCCGACCCAGUCCGUUCUGGACCGGGUCCUAGUCUCCCCGGAUUGGGACCUCCGUUGUCCUCUGGCCUCUCUUCGGGCCAUCACGCGGAUUGGCUCCAACCACGUCCCUCUUCUCUUGUCCUCCUCCGACGAGCGUCCUCCGAUCCCUCCCAGAUUCUAG
Molecule: ribosomal RNA, 738 nt
Filed under: Triticum aestivum (bread wheat)
Lineage: Eukaryota; Viridiplantae; Streptophyta; Magnoliopsida; Poales; Poaceae
Description: partial small subunit ribosomal RNA
Source: RNAcentral